This 508-nucleotide ribosomal RNA is filed under the name uncultured bacterium. Its description in RNAcentral is "partial 16S ribosomal RNA". It matches the Rfam family "Bacterial small subunit ribosomal RNA", at positions 28 to 507 of the family's 1533-position model. The record is from RNAcentral.
GACCAACGCUGGCGGCGUGCCUAAUACAUGCAAGUCGAACGCUUCUUUCCUCCCGAGUGCUUGCACUCAAUUGGAAAGAGGAGUGGCGGACGGGUGAGUAACACGUGUGUAACCUACCCAUCAGAGGGGGAUAACACUUGGAAACAGGUGCUAAUACCGCAUAACAGUUUAUGCCGCAUGGCAUAAGAGUGAAAGGCGCUCUCGGGUGUCGUUGAUGGAUGGACCCGCGGUGCAUUAGCUAGUUGGGGAGGUAACGGCUCACCAAGGCCACGAUGCAUAGCCGAUCGGUGAGGGUGAUCGGCCACACUGCAACUGAGACACGGCCCAGAUUCCUACGGUAGUCAGCAGUAGGGUAUCUUCGGCGAUGCACGAAAGUCUGACCGAGCACCUCCGCGUGAGUUAAGACGGUUUUCGGAUCGUAAACCUCUGUUGUUAGCGAAGAACAAGGACGUUAGUAACUCAACGUCCCCUGACGGUAUCUAACCAGAUAGCCACGGCUAACUACUUG